AGGCCGAUGGCGACCGGCGCACGGGUGAGUAACACGUAUCCAACCUGCCGUCUACUCUUGGACAGCCUUCUGAAAGGAAGAUUAAUACAAGAUGGCAUCAUGAGUCCGCAUGUUCACAUGAUUAAAGGUAUUCCGGUAGACGAUGGGGAUGCGUUCCAUUAGAUAGUAGGCGGGGUAACGGCCCACCUAGUCUUCGAUGGAUAGGGGUUCUGAGAGGAAGGUCCCCCACAUUGGAACUGAGACACGGUCCAAACUCCUACGGGAGGCAGCAGUGAGGAAUAUUGGUCAAUGGGCGAGAGCCUGAACCAGCCAAGUAGCGUGAAGGAUGACUGCCCUAUGGGUUGUAAACUUCUUUUAUAAAGGAAUAAAGUCGGGUAUGGAUACUCGUUUGCAUGUACUUUAUGAAUAAGGAUCGGCUAACUCCGUGCCAGCAGCCGCGGUAAUACGGAGGAUCCGAGCGUUAUCCGGAUUUAUUGGGUUUAAAGGGAGCGUAGAUGGAUGUUUAAGUCAGUUGUGAAAGUUUGCGGCUCAACCGUAAAAUUGCAGUUGAUACUGGAUAUCUUGAGUGCAGUUGAGGCAGGCGGAAUUCGUGGUGUAGCGGUGAAAUGCUUAGAUAUCACGAAGAACUCCGAUUGCGAAGGCAGCCUGCUAAGCUGCAACUGACAUUGAGGCUCGAAAGUGUGGGUAUCAAACAGGAUUAGAUACCCUGGUAGUCCACACGGUAAACGAUGAAUACUCGCUGUUUGCGAUAUACUGCAAGCGGCCAAGCGAAAGCGUUA
RNAcentral lists this ribosomal RNA (779 nucleotides) under uncultured bacterium. RNAcentral's name for it is "bacterial SSU rRNA". It matches the Rfam family "Bacterial small subunit ribosomal RNA", at positions 82 to 862 of the family's 1533-position model. The record is from RNAcentral.